AUACUUUGGCAGCACAUAUGCAAAACUGGAGCAACACGGGGACGAUUAGCAUGACCCCAGCACAAGGGUGACAUGCAAGUUCGUGAAGCCGUCGUGUUUUUC
RNAcentral lists this small nuclear RNA (102 nucleotides) under Dasypus novemcinctus (nine-banded armadillo). The record is from RNAcentral. Lineage: Eukaryota; Metazoa; Chordata; Mammalia; Cingulata; Dasypodidae.